UCCGAGACUAGAAUCACAUGCUGACACAGCUCUUGUCCUGCUGUGCUAGCGUCCUUGGAGACAAUCUGCUGAUCUUGAUUCACUGGUGGGGGUGGGGAGUGGGGCGGUGAUUAGUGCCCCUGCCAGUCCCCUGAUCAGAAACAUUU
Molecule: small nucleolar RNA, 146 nt
Filed under: Dasypus novemcinctus (nine-banded armadillo)
Lineage: Eukaryota; Metazoa; Chordata; Mammalia; Cingulata; Dasypodidae
Description: Small nucleolar RNA SNORA3/SNORA45 family (ENSDNOG00000028071.1)
Rfam family: Small nucleolar RNA SNORA3/SNORA45 family
About the family: The members of this family belong to the H/ACA class of snoRNAs which are thought to guide the sites of modification of uridines to pseudouridines.
Source: RNAcentral